AGCCUGAUAGCUCAGCUGGUAGAGCCAGCGCGUACAAAGCAUAGGCGGCGUUCAUGCGUGGGUUCGAAUCCCACUGAGGAUA
RNAcentral lists this transfer RNA (82 nucleotides) under Echinostoma caproni. It matches the Rfam family "tRNA". From Rfam's summary of the family: Transfer RNA (tRNA) molecules are approximately 80 nucleotides in length. Lineage: Eukaryota; Metazoa; Platyhelminthes; Trematoda; Plagiorchiida; Echinostomatidae. The record is from Rfam by way of RNAcentral.